UACAUGGGGUGCAAACGUUGCUCGGAAUUAUUGGGCGUAAAGAGCUCGUAGGCGGUUCGGUAAGUCAGGUGUGAAAUCUCCACGCUCAACGUGGAGGCGCCACCUGAAACUGCCGUGACUCGAGUCCGGUAGGGGAGUGUGGAAUUCCCGGUGUAGCGGUGAAAUGCGCAGAUAUCGGGAGGAACACCAGUGGCGAAGGCGGCACUCUGGGCCGAUACUGACGCUGAGGCACGAAAGCGUGGGGAGCAAACAGG
RNAcentral lists this ribosomal RNA (254 nucleotides) under uncultured bacterium. RNAcentral describes it as "partial 16S ribosomal RNA". It matches the Rfam family "Bacterial small subunit ribosomal RNA", at positions 524 to 776 of the family's 1533-position model. The record is from RNAcentral.